UGGGGCGGCAUAAUUGGGCGGUAUGCCCUCAUAGCGCCGGUAUAGCGCCGGCACACCACCACAAGGGGCGCCAUCAAUCGAAUUUUUGGGGGUGGCGCGAUAAUUUUCGCGGCGCCAUGCAUUUGGCUCGAAGAAGAAGGCAGACAAGGAAGAUGGAAGAAUUAGGGUUUUGUUUUUUAUGGGUUUUGGGCUGGGCUUAAAAGGUUUUGGGUUUUAUUGAGCCAAGAAGCCCAGUUAUCAAUGUAAUGUUUUUAUAAAGUUAGAA
This 265-nucleotide long non-coding RNA is filed under the name Helianthus annuus (common sunflower). RNAcentral describes it as "hypothetical non coding rna". The record is from RNAcentral. Lineage: Eukaryota; Viridiplantae; Streptophyta; Magnoliopsida; Asterales; Asteraceae.